AUGGCGGCCAAGAUCAAGACGGUGGUGGUGGUGGUGCAAGAGAACCGCUCCUUCGACCACAUGCUGGGCUGGAUGAAAUCCCUCAACCCGGACAUCGACGGCGUCACCGGCGCCGAGACUAACCGCGUCGUCGUUGCCGACCCCCGCUCCAAAGCCAUCCCCUUCGGCGACGGCUCCCAGUACGUGGACCCGGACCCCGGCCACUCCAUCCAGGCCAUCUACGAGCAGGUCUAUGGCACGCCCUUCGUCGACGCCCAGGCCACGCCCAUCACCCCGCCCAGCGUCCCCACGCCGCCCAUGAGCGGUUUCGCGCAGCAGGCCGAGCAGGAGAAGCCGGGCAUGGCGGAGACCGUCAUGAGCGGGUUCAGGCCGGACGCCGUGCCGGUGUACCGCGAGCUGGCGCGGGAGUUCGCCGUGUGCGACCGCUGGUUCGCGUCCAACCCGGCGUCCACCCAGCCCAACCGCCUCUUCGUGCACUCGGCCACCUCGCACGGCCUCGUCAGCAACAACACCAAGGCGCUCGUCGCCGGCCUGCCGCAGACCACCAUCUUCGACUCCCUCCACGACGCCGGCUACUCCUUCGGGAUCUACUACCAGUACCCGCCAUCCGUGCUCUUCUACCGCAACCUCCGGCAGCUCAAGUACAUCGGCAACUUUCACCCGUUCGACCUCGAGUUCCGGCGCCACUGCCGGGAGGGGAAGCUGCCAAACUAUGUCGUCGUGGAGCAGCGCUACUUUGACCUCAAGAUCCUCCCCGGCAACGACGACCACCCGUCGCAUGACGUUUCCGAGGGCCAGAGGUUCGUCAAGGAGGUGUACGAGGCGCUGCGCUCGGGCCCGCAGUGGGAAGAGACGCUCCUUGUCGUCACCUACGACGAGCACGGCGGGUUCUAUGACCACGUGCCCACCCCCGUGGGCGUCCCCAGCCCCGACGACAUCGUCAGCGACGCACCCUUCUUCUUCAACUUCGACCGCCUCGGCGUCCGCGUCCCGGCCUUCUUCAUCUCCCCCUGGAUCGAGCCUGGGACGGUGGUGCACAGGCCGUCAGGGCCGCACCCGACAUCGGAGUUCGAGCACUCGUCCAUCCCGGCCACCGUGAAAAAGAUCUUCAACCUCGAGAGCUUCCUGACCAAGCGCGACGCAUGGGCCGGCACGUUCGACGUCGUCCUUACGCGUGACACCCCGCGCACCGAUUGCCCUGCCACGCUGCCUGAGCCGGUGAAGAUGCGGCCAACAGAGGCAGCGGAGCACACGACGAUCUCGGACUUCCAGGCGGAGCUGGUGCAGCUGGGCGCGGCGCUCAACGGCGACCACGCCAAGGACACAUACCCACACAAGCUGGUGGAGGGCAUGACGGUGGCGGACGCCGCAAGGUACUGCAACGGCGCCUUCAAGGCCUUCCAGGACGAGUGCGAGCGCUGCAAGAAGUGCGGCAAGGAUGGGUCCCACAUCCCCACCAUGCCGCCGUCGCCGUUGCCGCCGUCCAAGAAGAGGGGUGGCUUCGCUUCCAAGAUGCUGGCUUGCUUUGCGUGUGGCCAUUCCUAG
RNAcentral lists this ribosomal RNA (1545 nucleotides) under Triticum aestivum (bread wheat). RNAcentral describes it as "partial small subunit ribosomal RNA". Lineage: Eukaryota; Viridiplantae; Streptophyta; Magnoliopsida; Poales; Poaceae. The record is from RNAcentral.